GACGAACGCUGGCGGCGUGCCUAAUACAUGCAAGUCGAACGCAUUUUCUAUCACCUUAGCUCUCUACACCGAGAGAAAAUCGGUUGCGAACGGGGGAGUAACCCUUGCUUAACCUGCCCAUUAGCUGGGGAUAACCCUUGGUAACAGGUGCUAAUACCUCAUACCUCCAUUUUCCGCAUGGUAGAUCGAUGAUAGGCGCUCUUGCGGCUCUGUUGGAGGCACCUCCGGUGCAUUAGCUAGUAGGUGGUGUCACGGGCUACCAAGGCUGCGAUGCAUAGCCGGCCUGGGAGGGUGGUCGGCCACACUGGGACUGAGACACGGGCCAGAAUCCUAAGGGGGGGAGCAGGAGGGGAACUUUGGCAAAGGAGGGAAGGCUGAACGAGGCACGCCGGGUGGGGGGAGGAAGGUUUCGGGUCGGAAAAAUCCGUUGUUAGGGGAGAAAAAGAAUGGGAGUGAAAAGUGCACGCCUUGACGGUAUCUAACCAGAAAGCCACGGCUAACUACGUG
RNAcentral lists this ribosomal RNA (507 nucleotides) under uncultured bacterium. Its description in RNAcentral is "partial 16S ribosomal RNA". It matches the Rfam family "Bacterial small subunit ribosomal RNA", at positions 28 to 507 of the family's 1533-position model. The record is from RNAcentral.